Molecule: ribosomal RNA, 429 nt
Filed under: Pseudomonadota bacterium
Lineage: Bacteria; Pseudomonadati; Pseudomonadota
Description: Proteobacteria bacterium partial 16S ribosomal RNA
Rfam family: Bacterial small subunit ribosomal RNA
Source: RNAcentral
UGGGGAAUAUUGGACAAUGGGCGAAAGCCUGAUCCAGCCAUGCCGCGUGUGUGAAGAAGGUCUUCGGAUUGUAAAGCACUUUAAGUUGGGAGGAAGGGCAGUAAGCGAAUACCUUGCUGUUUUGACGUUACCGACAGAAUAAGCACCGGCUAACUCUGUGCCAGCAGCCGCGGUAAUACAGAGGGUGCAAGCGUUAAUCGGAAUUACUGGGCGUAAAGCGCGCGUAGGUGGUUCGUUAAGUUGAAUGUGAAAGCCCCGGGCUCAACCUGGAAACUGCAUCCAAAACUGGCGAGCUAGAGUAGGGCAGAGGGGGGUGGAAUUUCCUGUGUAGCGGUGAAAUGCGUAGAUAUAGGAAGGAACACCAGUGGCGAAGGCGACCACCUGGGCUCAUACUGACACUGAGGUGCGAAAGCGUGGGGAGCAAACAGG